GAAAUCGGUAGACGCUACGGACUUAAAAUCCGUCGACUUUAUAAGUUGUGAGGGUUCAAGUCCCUCUAUCCCCA
This 74-nucleotide transfer RNA is filed under the name Thinopyrum intermedium. RNAcentral describes it as "partial tRNA-Leu". It matches the Rfam family "tRNA", at positions 12 to 71 of the family's 71-position model. Rfam says of the family: Transfer RNA (tRNA) molecules are approximately 80 nucleotides in length. The record is from RNAcentral. Lineage: Eukaryota; Viridiplantae; Streptophyta; Magnoliopsida; Poales; Poaceae. RNAcentral also lists the same sequence under 3 other names.